CCCUCUGGAACGGUAGUAAACGCUCUUAACUGCUGAGCUGUCUCUCCAGAGAGGAUGAUAAGGAACUGAACUCAGGGCCUCACGCUUGAACAGCAAGCACUAUUACUCUCUGGGUCCUCUUCCUAGCCCCAACGCAUGUUCUUUUGAGGAAGUUGUAUGCAUAGAGACCCAUGAAGUGAUGGAUUUCACAUCUGCAUCUUGGUGGCAAGCUAGCCAGUGAUGAUUCGUUUUGGAGUGAGCUCCACUGGAUGGCUCGGCCUCCUCAAGAUGCUCCGUGGUAAUACAAGAGAACAGUGAGGUGAGACAGUGAACUGGAUAGCAGUGGGGCUGGCUCUAGGCAGUGCUGCCUGGCUCCCUGGCUGCACCGCUGAGAGGAAAGCUGCCUUAUCUUGUCCUUGGUCUACCUCACACAAGUCCGUGGGCUAUUUCCUCUUCUAUGAAGCAUGGCAGCUGGAUCCAAUUCAAUAAAUCUAAAGAUUCUGCUGUGCUAGA
Non-coding RNA from Rattus norvegicus (Norway rat), 492 nucleotides. The record is from RefSeq and is a predicted model, not a curated record. Lineage: Eukaryota; Metazoa; Chordata; Mammalia; Rodentia; Muridae.